GAUCAGGCCACUGCACUCCAGCCUGGGCAACAGAGCAAGACUCUGUCUCAAAAAAAAAAAAAAAAAGACAAAAUGUUUUAAUGAGGAGAUAAAAAUCACUGAACCAGCCUGUUGUUUUUAUAUUGGAUCAGUAUAGCUUUGUACUGUACCUGGAAAUAAAAAUAAAAAUUUUUUCUGAGUAAAUUAAUAAGAUGUAGGAAAGAUAUUAAGGUUUAUUUUUAAGUAAGCUCUAAAUAGAAAUGAUAAUCUGAUUAUAAAAAGAAUAUGAAAAAUAUUUAAUAUGCUAGUGCUCUGCUCACUGCAAGCUCUGCCUCCUGGGUUCACACCAUUCUCCUGCCUCAGCUUCCCGAGUAGCUGGGACUACAGGUGCCUGCCACCACACCCGGCUAAUUUUUUUUUUUUGUACUUUUAGUAGAGACAGGGUUUCACUGUGUUAGCCAGGAUAGUCUUGAUCUCCUGACCUCAUGAUCCGUCCGCCUCGGCCUCCCAAAGUGCUGGGAUUACAGGCGUGAGCCACUGCACCUGGCUAAAACCUACAUUUUUUUCAAUUCUCUUUUUAACAUUUGAAAAUUUUGCUUAAUCUAAAAUAUACUCCAGAAGUUUAAAUGGAAAGACCUUAAUAAAAUAUUCAGUCAAAUGCUCUUCCUUUAGAAAUGGAGGCACUGAAGUUCAUUUCUCCUAUCAUUCUAAAUUGAUGUUUCAUUUUGACUAUAUAUUUAGUGAGUUAUGGCAGUAAAAGCAGCUUUAAUUUUUUUUCUGAAAGCCUACUCAUAUUGGAGCCCUUUAUAACUUGCCUCUUGAAGUAUAUAUAUUUACUCAUACAAAUCAAACACUGAUGUCUGUGAAGUUUCAUAUCAUCUUUUAUAUUUGAAUUUUGUUCAUAUACUUAUUGUCACCCAGGCUGGAAGUACAGUGGUGUAAUCUAAGCUCACUGCAACCUCUGCCUCCUGGGUUCAA
RNAcentral lists this long non-coding RNA (957 nucleotides) under Pan troglodytes (chimpanzee). RNAcentral's name for it is "long non-coding RNA NONPTRT009378". The record is from RNAcentral. Lineage: Eukaryota; Metazoa; Chordata; Mammalia; Primates; Hominidae.